Molecule: non-coding RNA, 25 nt
Filed under: Cricetulus griseus (Chinese hamster)
Lineage: Eukaryota; Metazoa; Chordata; Mammalia; Rodentia; Cricetidae
Source: RNAcentral
GCAAGGAGGAGUAUUUGAAUUUAUG